RNAcentral lists this transfer RNA (53 nucleotides) under Candidatus Phytoplasma phoenicium. It matches the Rfam family "tRNA", at positions 20 to 71 of the family's 71-position model. Rfam says of the family: Transfer RNA (tRNA) molecules are approximately 80 nucleotides in length. The record is from Rfam by way of RNAcentral. Lineage: Bacteria; Bacillati; Mycoplasmatota; Mollicutes; Acholeplasmatales; Acholeplasmataceae.
AGAGCAUCUGACUGUUAAUCAGAGGGUCCUAGGUUCGAGUCCUAGUGUAGGCG